RNAcentral lists this long non-coding RNA (220 nucleotides) under Manihot esculenta (cassava). Its description in RNAcentral is "long non-coding RNA (MESC_LNC004522)". The record is from RNAcentral. Lineage: Eukaryota; Viridiplantae; Streptophyta; Magnoliopsida; Malpighiales; Euphorbiaceae.
AGCAUGUUCAUGCAUCAUGAAUGCCAUGUGAUGAUUUAGGUUGUUUGCAUUAGAAUUCACGAAUAUGUUGCAUUGCAUUCUAUGAUGUUGAUGUGGAUUGGUUAUUGGAUGACCCUUUAGUCCUCAUAUGAUGAUGAUACGGCAUGAUAUGGUAUGGAAGUUCGGUUGACCCAUUCUACGUUCCGGCACUAUGUAAGAGAAAGACCGGUUGACCCAUUCU